This 318-nucleotide small RNA is filed under the name Paenibacillus bovis. RNAcentral's name for it is "cspA thermoregulator". It matches the Rfam family "cspA thermoregulator", at positions 55 to 428 of the family's 428-position model. Lineage: Bacteria; Bacillati; Bacillota; Bacilli; Caryophanales; Paenibacillaceae. The record is from Rfam by way of RNAcentral.
AUUUUUCUAUUUUAUCGGAUGUAUUUUCCUCUGAAUAAAGAAGGUCAUGUAAAUUUAAUUUUGGAGGUAUUCCACAUGCAAACAGGUACAGUAAAAUGGUUUAACGCAGAAAAAGGUUUUGGUUUCAUCGAGGUUGAAGGUGGCAACGAUGUAUUCGUUCACUUCUCCGCUAUCCAAGGUGACGGCUUCAAAACUUUGGACGAAGGCCAACGCGUAGAAUUCAACGUAGUUGAAGGAAACCGUGGACCACAAGCUGAAAACGUUGUAAAACUGUAAUUCAGCUAAGAGACGCCCUUAACGUUUGUUAAGGGUGUUUUU